This 75-nucleotide transfer RNA is filed under the name Borrelia crocidurae DOU. Its description in RNAcentral is "tRNA-Thr". It matches the Rfam family "tRNA". From Rfam's summary of the family: Transfer RNA (tRNA) molecules are approximately 80 nucleotides in length. Their secondary structure includes four short double-helical elements and three loops (D, anti-codon, and T loops). Lineage: Bacteria; Pseudomonadati; Spirochaetota; Spirochaetia; Spirochaetales; Borreliaceae. The record is from RNAcentral.
GCCGACUUAGCUCAGUUGGUCCAGAGCGACGGUCUUGUAAACCGUAGGUCGUGGGUUCGAAUCCGACAGUCGGCU